Molecule: ribosomal RNA, 460 nt
Filed under: uncultured bacterium
Lineage: Bacteria
Description: partial 16S ribosomal RNA
Rfam family: Bacterial small subunit ribosomal RNA
Source: RNAcentral
CCUACGGGAGGCAGCAGUGAGGAAUAUUGGUCAAUGGGCGGAAGCCUGAACCAGCCAAGUCGCGUGAGGGAUUAAGGCCCUGCGGGUCGUAAACCUCUUUUGCCGGGGAGCAGUGGUCCGGACGCGUCCGGACCGGGAGAGUACCCGGAGAAAAAGCAUCGGCUAACUCCGUGCCAGCAGCCGCGGUAAUACGGAGGAUGCGAGCGUUAUCCGGAUUUAUUGGGUUUAAAGGGUGCGUAGGCGGACGCUUAAGUCAGCGGUAAAAUUGCGGGGCUCAACCUCGUCGAGCCGUUGAAACUGGGUGCCUUGAGUGGGCGAGAAGUACGCGGAAUGCGUGGUGUAGCGGUGAAAUGCAUAGAUAUCACGCAGAACUCCGAUUGCGAAGGCAGCGUACCGGCGCCCAACUGACGCUGAAGCACGAAGGCGUGGGUAUCGAACAGGAUUAGAUACCCUUGUAGUC